GGCAGAAAAUCCUAGCUAGGCUUAGGAGACCCAGUUUUCAGAUUGGAUUUGCCUUGGUUCUUAUCGAGUCCUAGUCUUUUGGAUAGAGGAACCUUAUAUCCAUAUAGAUACAUACAUUGUUUUGGUUUAGUUUUGGGUCAAUUUGGUUGUAGAAGUUUAUAUAUGUAAUCCUUUUAGCAUAAACUAAAACCAAUCAAAUCUCUUAAUAUUGCAACUGAAGACCAGCGGCGGACAAAAUACUUUUGAAAAUCGAUUCCAAUUUAAUCGACAAAUCUAGAUAUUUGUAAUUCUAAUGAUCAAUGAAAUGCUAAUAUUCAAUAUUAUUAAAAACUGAGUAAAUCAUAAACGUUAAAAAAAUAUAAAUGAAUAUCUAAUUAGAUAUAUACAUAUGCUUAUAUUAUAAAUAUAUGUAUGUAAAUUUGUAAUUACUUUUUUGUCUGUAGAAACUUUACAACAUUUUUAUCCUCUAAAUGAAUAAUUUUAUAUAAACAGUAUAAUUAUUUUUGUCUAAGCAAAUCUUGUUUAUCUUUUAAUUAAAUUAAGCAAAGCUUGUAACAUUUAUCAUUAAAUUAGUUAUUUAGCUACUAAUUCUUUUAAGAAAAAUAAUUAUAAUGAAAUAUUAUUGUUUACACUAAAUUUGAUUUUUGAUUAUUAUUUUCUACAAAACAGGUAGAAUAUCCCGUAAAUUUUUUUUUAAUCAAAUACCUGAAUAACAGUUAUUAUUUAAUAAUAAUUAUAUAUUUUUAAAUCACCCCAUAAGUGUCAGAACAAUUAUACCUCCAGCUUAUCUAACCUAUACUAAAAGGAGGAUAUCUAAAGCUCUAAGAGUGUCCACGUAUGCAAAUUAAUUCCAGCCAAUCAAAUCGUUUUAAGAUGCCAUAUCAGCUUUGACACAACCUAACCUAAAGGCUUUCUUCCUCUUUCGUGGCCUUUCCGAUUACUCCAGCCAACUUCACCGUUCAGAGUUUCGCUUACAUCUUCUCCAAUUAAUUUUACACAUUAUUGCCCUUUUCAAAACAGUCGCAUCCUUUCUCCACUUCCCUUUAUCAUUCAUAUAAAGAAGGAUGCAAAGUGAAAGCAAUCCACUCAGAUUCUGUGUCAAAAGCAGGUUAGUUCAAAAACUUAAUUCUGGGUUCUAUAGUUAUUAUAACAGUGUUUCAAGAAAAAAAAGUUAUUAUAACCGAUUUAUUUUGAUUGAGUUUCAUUGUCGUCAUUGCAAAGAGGGGGAUUUUAUUAAAUGGUGAGUUCUUCUGGAUGCUUUCACAUCGCACUUUCCUCCUGUCUCGAUCUUCAUAUAAAUAAAAUUAUUUUUUUGCAGCCCCAGAUUGUUCUACAACGGAGGAUUUCUACGCCACCAUAGGUAAUCUUGGUUUGGUGAUUUUAAUCCCAACAGCUUUGGUUUAGAUUUGAUAAUCCAUACAUUCACCAAGUCUUUUCAUUGUAGAUUGAUAGUUGUUGUUGUUCAAAUUAGUUCUUGCUUUCAAUUGUUGCCUCAAGAUCUCUGGUCAAGGGCAUCUCUUACCUUUGAUUUCAGAAUGCUUUCCGCCACAAAACUCAUCAAGAUCUCUGUUCUGUAUGUUUCAGGUCAUGGGUUUACUGGAAUAGUUAGUUGUCUACACAACAUCCCAGACUUAGAGAUCAGAAAAGAAGGGUUGGUGAAGAAGCUUCAAGUGAAACACGAGAAGAUUCUGAAUCUGAGCGAGUGGAUGAAGGGUAAAAGACACCACCGUCUUUGCAUUCUUCCAUAUAAUUCCGCCGCCUCCUGAUCCUUCUGACGAGGAAGCUGUUGUUGCUUACAAUACUUUGCUCAAUCGGUACGGUUUGAGCAAUGGUGAAUCUGGUUCUGUGUUGGGCAAAAGGAAAGAUAAGGGGGGGGGGAUCAGAAGGUGGGGUUGUGGGUAAGAGGAGGAAGAAGCUACGAGUUAGCUUUAGGGAUCAGUUAGGAGGAGAGCUUGCUGAGGUUGUUGGGAUGUCUGAUGGAGCAGACGUGGACACAGAGCCUGAUCCGAUUGGUGUCAAAGAAGGGAGCUUGCUUUCCUGAGUGUCGUCUUUCUUCUUAUAUUUAUGUAUGCAUCCCACCGUAGUCAAGACAGCAUAUGAGAGGUAUUCUAAAAGCUAGCUGUGGUAAAUGUGGCUCAUAAGAAGUUUUUGCUAAAGAACUCUCACAGUUGGCAAGUGGUUGACUUCCUCAUAUGCCCAUGAGCUGGCGGCACUGAGCAAUACAGAGGCUGCAUCACAGCACAUGUUCCAUGGCAGGUGCUUCAACACUCCAUGUUCUACAAGUUCUAAGCUCACUAACUUCUGUUAGUGAUGAUAGCAAUAUUUGAAACCGAAGAGAAAGCAGAACACGAGGAACAAAACACUGUGAAAAGACUAAAUGCGGUAUUAGACCCCUUGGCAAGGACAUAGCCAGUGUAUCGCAUGACUGAGUUGUUGAUGGAUCAUAUUGCAGCUACAACAACCCAUAUCCAAUGGUGAUCAUGCCCUUGGGGUCUCUCCUUUGUCCCCUCUUUCUCCAGGAACUCAGAGGUUCCUUCCUCUUAUUGUGCUUAUCUUUGUUCUAUGUCAGAAAAUUCAAACUCUGUUAAUGUUACAGCAGAAUCAUGCGAAUGUGAUAGAUGGAGAGUCCGCCAUAGUUCAUCUUCUAAAUCCAGCGUAGCUUCUCUGGAAAAUCGAAGGCUCCUGACAUUUGCAAAGUUUGCGGAGAAGCAUAGGCAAAAUCCAAGAUUACUAGAGAACCUUUCUGAAUCUAAGGCACCAGGUUGAAGGAUUUUGAAAACAAGAGAGGUAAAGGUCCCUGCAUAUAAGUGUUUGCUGAGCUUAUGUAUUGGAAGAUUCAUACAACCAGUUACGUAUGCGCUCCCCACAUGAUCUGAAAGGACGUCUGAAUGUGCAGUUUCAAGUUGAAGAAUGUUGCUUGUAGUCUUACAAGAUAGUGGUAUAAGUUAGUUUCACAAUUAUAUUUGACAUACGUUAACAGUUUUAUUCAAAUUGUUUCAAAUCAAAUAUAAUUUAAAAUAUGUUUCCAUUUUUUGACCGAGAACUUAAAAAAUAUAUUUAAUGAACGUAUGUAACUAUUUCUGGAACUAUAAAUUAAUAAAUAAUUUUCUGAAAUUGUAUCUUUGUCGUACCUGAAUAACAUAUGAUAAACAGCGUUGAUGUGCGUACUGCUAUUAGAUUACAGUCCUGAAUCAUAUUUGUUCUCCGGAAUAUCAAAUUGUUUAACUAAAAUAGAAUAUGCUCAAGUGCUGGCUAAAAUAGCUUUUACAUGCCAAAUACGAAGUCAGUUAUAUAUAAUUUUAAUAUUUUGAAACUUGACUGAUAAGCAUUUGACAACUAUCAAAUGAGUUUUUCAUUCUUCUUCUCAUUUUCAUUUCGUUUCUUUUUUAUUAUUGAGAUACUUUGAUUUUUUAUUAGCAUUGAAAUAUUUUAUGAGAUGUUUACUAAGACCAUCUUCAAUGGUUCACUCUAUUUUUUCAUCAAAACAGAGUUAUUCUAUAAUAAAAUUGAAUACUACUCCAAUAAUACUAAGUUUUAGAGUGAAAAAUAAAUUGAUGAAUAAAAAAUAAAUGAAUUAUUUUAUUUAUAGAGUACACCUUUUUUACUCUAUUAUAGAAUAAAAAGUAAAGUAUAAUUGAAGCAUUUUUACUCUAAACUCUAUUUUAGAUGAGAAAAUAGAAUGUGCUUAGAGAUGCUCCAAUGUAAAUGUCCUUACUUCUCUCCGAAAUAAAAUA
Molecule: long non-coding RNA, 3734 nt
Organism: Brassica napus (rape)
Lineage: Eukaryota; Viridiplantae; Streptophyta; Magnoliopsida; Brassicales; Brassicaceae
Exons: 2
Source: RefSeq, a predicted model, not a curated record